This 455-nucleotide ribosomal RNA is filed under the name uncultured bacterium. RNAcentral describes it as "bacterial SSU rRNA". It matches the Rfam family "Bacterial small subunit ribosomal RNA", at positions 340 to 786 of the family's 1533-position model. The record is from RNAcentral.
UACGGAAGGCAGCAGGGGGAAUAUUGCACAAUGGGCGAAAGCCUGAUGCAGCUAUGCCGCGUGUAUGAAGAAGGCCUUAGGGUUGUAAAGUACUUUCAUCGGGGAGGAAAAAACAAAACUAAUAAUUUUAUUUCUUGACGUUACCCGAAAAAGAAGCACCGGCUAACUCCGUGCCAGCAGCCGCGGUAAUACGGAGGGUGCUAGCGUUAAUCAGAAUUACUGGGCGUAAAGAGCACGUAGGUGGUUUUUUAAAGUCAGAUGUGAAAUCCCUGGGCUUAACCUAGGAACUGCAUUUUGAAACUGAAAUACUAGAGUAUCGUAGAGGGAGGUAGAAUUCUAGGUGUAGCGGUGAAAUGCGUAGAUAUCUGGAGGAAUACCUGUGGCGAAAGCGGCCUCCUAAACGAAUACUGACACUGAGGUGCGAAAGCGUGGGGAGCAAACAGGGAUUAGAUACC